This 2051-nucleotide long non-coding RNA is filed under the name Gadus morhua (Atlantic cod). RNAcentral describes it as "lncRNA (ENSGMOG00000035276.1)". Lineage: Eukaryota; Metazoa; Chordata; Actinopteri; Gadiformes; Gadidae. The record is from RNAcentral.
ACAGUAUGCAUCUAAAAAUGCAUCACCUCUGUGAGCAUCGUAUGUUUACAGUUAGUUAACUUACUGAUCAUGGAUGCUGUUAAGGUAGUGCUCAUAUGUCGCGCUCUCUCUAUGUCGCGCUCUCUCUAUUUUUUAGACAACUCAAGACCCUCUGCAACGUAAGCACAUGCACGCUAAACUGAUCAUCACGAUUCACCAGACUCUCAUUUAAAUAAAGUUCAAGGAUUGCCAACUUGGAUUCGGCUGCAGAAGGCUAUUCGGCACAGUCGCAGGCAGACAGCCGAACUUCGUGCUCUCAUGCAAUCCCAAUGAGAGCGACAAAAAAAAAAAAAAAAAAAACUUAAUUUGCACGCAGAGACUAUGGCGGCCGAAAUUAGACUAUGGCGGUGCGCCAUAGUCUCGUCAAUGUGUGGGAAACACUGUAGUUUGAGUGCGCCCUAAGAUAGCAUAUUAUAUAGCAUUUUUAAAACAAAAUAAUUCUGAAUCCUUUGGUUCUAUAAUAACACUGUUCUUGCUUGUAACUUCAAUUUCUCAACAGCAGAUAUGCAGGAAUGUCCUGUGUGCACACAAAUCUUCCCAACAGAUUUUAUUGAGGCACACGCUUCGGCCUGCGGGGAGAGUGCUAGUGCAGGGAAUGAGAUGCAUGCAAGUACGAUCAGUGAGGAAGAAGCAGCAAUACCUGGAACAUCCGGAGGAGAUAGAGAUAGAGAUGGAGGCUGGUUCACCAUUGCUGACCCCGCCAAGGCCAUAGCGCAGUGUGUGGAAAAUCAUCUCAGCCUUCACAAGGAGGAGAAUCCAUUGCAGCUAACCAUGGACAUAAGAAGUAGUCCUACCGAACAGGACAUGGCCCUGAUCUCCUUUUACAAGCCGCCAAAUGUGGAAUGGGGACGACCCCUGAACUGCAGACUUGAAGGUUGCUCCAACAUCAAGUUUCAGUUGUCAAAUUAAUAUUUUCAAGUAUUUCCUUUAUCUUUAUUCUGUCAAACUGUUUCACAGGAGAUACUGCUAUUGGCAAGGGUGUGACUCGCUUUUUUUUGUCCUCCCGCAUUGAAAAGCUGAAGUCUGGAUUUUCCAUAAAUUUUGGUAUGCAAUUUAGGUGUAUGGCAUCCUUUUAAAUGCUCUAUUUGUUUAAUGUUUAUUUCAGGUGGGAUAAUAACGGGGGAGUCCAGUUCAGCACAAACAGUACUAACACAUGUUUUUAUUCAAUGUAUUUUUAUGUGUUGAACAGCAAAUGCCGAUGUAACACGGCUUUUUGAUGGCGAGCCUGGCCAUUUGGUCCCAUCAGCCUCUCAUUUUCUUGUCGAAAGUGACUUGUUCAUGGUGGCGGGGAGAAUGCUAGGCCACUCUUUCCUUCACGGAGGACCGUCCUUGUCUGGACUUGUUCAUGUACUGCUUGGUGGGAGUCCUGAAACGGCAACUCUAACUUUGGAGGAUUGUCCAGACCUGGACAUCAGAGAAAUAAUAAGGCCAUUAAGUUGACUUAAAAAAAACGGUAGAAUCCUGGGAAAGACCAAUUAGAACACAGCAUUUAUCAUUGCUGUGAUGUGUUAUAGCCAGUACUUUUUAAAAGGGCACAUAGUACCUAGCAUUACUCAACUUUGUAUCCUAAUUUGCUUAUUGUGCCUCUGCCUUAAAGCUCGGAGGAGAAUCCACACUAUCGGAGAAGGAUGCAGCAAGUGUCCAGGAAUUGGCCUACGCCUGGGACCUUCCAUCCAUAACUGAGAUGGAUUUUUGAGAAGUUAUUGAUCCAUGCUGUGAGUGAAAGUUUGAGAAAUGUUUGCUUCCAAAAUUACAAGUGGCAAUUCUUCUUUUCUAAAAUCUGAGUUAUGUGCACAUUGUUUAUCUGUCGCACAACAUUAGUCAAAAUUAUUCUGGUUAAUUUAUAACCAAGGAAACAAAGUGUCACGGUUUAUGUAAAAUGUUUUACUUCGUAUUUGUCAAAUUAUUUUCCUGGAAACAUAAAAUAUGGUGUAGUCACUGGUCAGUAAUAAAUGCAAAAGUGGUUUUAUCACUGAACUGGAGGACACAGUAUCAUGUUACUUAAUUCCCUU